RNAcentral lists this ribosomal RNA (604 nucleotides) under Ptychadena uzungwensis (Uzungwe ridged frog). RNAcentral's name for it is "partial large subunit ribosomal RNA". It matches the Rfam family "Bacterial large subunit ribosomal RNA", at positions 1796 to 2622 of the family's 2925-position model. Lineage: Eukaryota; Metazoa; Chordata; Amphibia; Anura; Ptychadenidae. The record is from RNAcentral.
UCGCCUGUUUUAUCAAAAACAUCGCCUCUUGACAAACAUAAGAGGUCCCGCCUGCCCACUGACAGGAUUUAACGGCCGCGGUACUCUGACCGUGCAAAGGUAGCACAAUCACUUGUUCUCUAAAUAGGGACUAGAAUCAACGGCAUCACGAGGGUCUUACUGUCUCCCUUUUCUAAUCAGUGAAACUGAUCUUCCCGUGAAGAAGCGGGAAUAACUCUAUAAGACGAGAAGACCCCAUGGAGCUUCAAACUCAAUAGUUACCCCAUGCAAACUACACGACAACUUAGGGAAAUAACUAUUAAUUUUAGGUUGGGGUGACCACGGAGAAUAGCCUAACCUCCGCAAUGAAAAGAAUAAUAUCCUUAUCUAUGAGACACAUCUCUAAGAAUUAACAAAUUAGCAUAAAAUGAUCCGAUCUAUUUAUCAUUCGAUCAAUGAACCAAGUUACCCUGGGGAUAACAGCGCCAUCCACUUUGAGAGUUCAUAUCGACAAGUGGGUUUACGACCUCGAUGUUGGAUCAGGGUAUCCCAGUGGUGCAGCCGCUACUAAAGGUUCGUUUGUUCAACGAUUAAAACCCUACGUGAUCUGAGUUCAAACCGGAGA